GAAAUAGAACCUGAAACCCUGCACUUACAAGCUGUGGACGCACAAUUCUUGUGUUACCGCGAACUUUCUGUAGCACGGGCCAACGAGUUACGUUAAGUCGACAGGUUAAGCACUUAAGGUGUGGAGCCGUAGCGAAAGCGAGUUUUAACUGCGCGUUCUGUUACUUGGCGUAGACCCGUAACCGCGCUAUCUACCCAUUAGCAGGAU
RNAcentral lists this ribosomal RNA (207 nucleotides) under Clostridioides difficile. RNAcentral describes it as "partial 23S ribosomal RNA". It matches the Rfam family "Bacterial large subunit ribosomal RNA", at positions 540 to 746 of the family's 2925-position model. Lineage: Bacteria; Bacillati; Bacillota; Clostridia; Peptostreptococcales; Peptostreptococcaceae. The record is from RNAcentral.